Molecule: ribosomal RNA, 330 nt
Filed under: uncultured Allapsidae
Lineage: Eukaryota; Cercozoa; Glissomonadida; Viridiraptoridae
Description: SSU rRNA
Rfam family: Eukaryotic small subunit ribosomal RNA (bases 87-330)
Source: RNAcentral
GAUUUCUGACGAAACUGCUAGCUGGCCCGCCACGCAAGUGGUGAGUGCCGGCUUGGCGUUUGUCAUCCGUUCGAAUGAUAUGCGUGCUGCCCUUCACUGGGUUGGCGCUGCAUGUUUUCGAUCUUUUACUUUGAAAAAAUUAGAGUGUUUCAAGCAGGCAUGUUUUGCUAUGAAUACAUUAGCAUGGAAUAAUAAUUUAGGACUUUGUUUCUAUUUUGUUGGUUUCUAGAGGCGAAGUAAUGAUUGAUAGGGAUAGUUGGGGGUGCUAGUAUUCAGCGGCCAGAGGUGAAAUUCUUGGAUUCGCUGAAGACUAACUUAUGCGAAAGCAUU